UACGAAGGGGGCUAGCGUUGCUCGGAAUCACUGGGCGUAAAGGGUGCGUAGGCGGGUCUUUAAGUCAGGGGUGAAAUCCUGGAGCUCAACUCCGGAAAUGCCAUUGAAACUGUAAGACUUGAGGAUGAGAGAGGUGAGUGGAAUUCCCAGUGUAGAGGUGAAAUUCGUAGAUAUUGGGAAGAACACCGGUGGCGAAGGCGGCUCACUGGCUCAUAUCUGACGCUCAGGCGCGACAGCGUGGGGAUCAAACAGG
Molecule: ribosomal RNA, 253 nt
Filed under: uncultured bacterium
Lineage: Bacteria
Description: partial 16S ribosomal RNA
Rfam family: Bacterial small subunit ribosomal RNA
Source: RNAcentral